AUUGAACGCUGGCGGCAUGCUUUACACAUGCAAGUCGAACGGCAGCACGGGAGCAAUCCUGGUGGCGAGUGGCAACGGGUGAGUAAUAUAUCGGAACGUACCCAAGAGUGGGGGAUAACGUAGCGAAAGUUACGCUAAUACCGCAUACGAUCUAUGGAUGAAAGCGGGGGAUCUUCGGACCUCGUGCUCCUGGAGCGGCCGAUAUCUGUUUAGCUAGUUGGUGAGGUAAAGGCUCACAAAGGCGACGAUCAGUAGCUGGUCUGAGAGGACGACCAGCAACACUGGGACUGAGACACGGCCCAGACUCCUACGGGAGACAGCAGUGGGGAAUUUUGGACAAUGGGCGCAAGCCUGAUCCAGCAAUGCCGCGUGAGUGAAGAAGGCCUUCGGGUUGUAAAGCUCUUUUGUCAGGGAAGAAACGGUUGGGGCUAAUAUCCCCGGCUAAUGACGGUACCUGAAGAAUAAGCACCGGCUAACUACGUGCCAGCAGCCGCCGCCG
This 499-nucleotide ribosomal RNA is filed under the name uncultured bacterium. RNAcentral's name for it is "partial 16S ribosomal RNA". It matches the Rfam family "Bacterial small subunit ribosomal RNA", at positions 30 to 523 of the family's 1533-position model. The record is from RNAcentral.